GAUCAUGGCUCAGGACGAACGCUGGCGGCGCGCCUAACACAUGCAAGUCGAACGAGCGAGAGAGAGCUUGCUUUCUCAAGCGAGUGGCGAACGGGUGAGUAACGCGUGAGGAACCUGCCUCAAAGAGGGGAACAACAGUUGGAAACGACUGCUAAUACCGCAUAAGCCCACGGCUCGGCAUCGAGCAGAGGGAAAAGGAGCAAUCCGCUUUGAGAUGGCCUCGCGUCCGAUUAG
RNAcentral lists this ribosomal RNA (234 nucleotides) under uncultured bacterium. RNAcentral's name for it is "partial 16S ribosomal RNA". It matches the Rfam family "Bacterial small subunit ribosomal RNA", at positions 15 to 244 of the family's 1533-position model. The record is from RNAcentral.